Molecule: long non-coding RNA, 5285 nt
Organism: Acinonyx jubatus (cheetah)
Lineage: Eukaryota; Metazoa; Chordata; Mammalia; Carnivora; Felidae
Exons: 3
Source: RefSeq, a predicted model, not a curated record
CAAAAAUACCGGUCAACCUGAGGCCCCAAAGGAUACUUUGAAUGUAUUUGACUAUGAGGAAAAUAACUGCUAAAAUUCACCUAGAAAUAAUUCUCUCUUUUCUUCUUGUUGCCUUCCCUCAACCGAAGCUGAACUAUUGAGAGAUCACGAUGUUGAGGUUACCUCCAAAUAAGGGAGUAUUCACAAAAAUUUUACCCCUUGAUAGCAAAGCAGAAAAGUCGCCCCAGUUCAGAAGAAAAUCACUGGCCUUCCGUAGACUGACCCAAACUCCUUUUCCAACACUUGAGUUAAUACCAGUAUCAUGAGACCCCAGUCUGUGUUCUUCUUUUUGUUAGUUUGGAAAGAAUGACUAAUCCCUGUAUACUAUUCUUGGACUGUUAUUUUGGCCAGUUUAGGAGGAAUGGAUGAAUACUAAUAACAUCCGACGUUUAUAGCACGUUCAGAGUUUAUAAAGCCUUUUUCCAUUGACUCCUCACAGCAGUUCCCAGAUGAAGUGACUUGACCUGGCUCAUCUGUGACCAAGCGAUGAAGCUAAGAUAUAAACAUGAGUCUUCUGAAUCCAGCCUUCAGUUUUAACUGUGCACUAGACAGGGUUUAAAAGUUUUUCAAAGUGCAAGCGACAAGAGAAAAGACAGAAAACUCACAGAGAGGAAUUCAGUGAAUUGCCCAGCUCAUACAGCUUGUGAAUCGUGGGAAGCGGUCUCCUCCAGAAUCCGCGAGCUUUACCGCCUGGGCACCGCGAAGGAUGCAUAUCCUCUGUGUCUACUCAUUUGUCUGGCACCGCCCACCUCCUCAAUCCCAUUGCAGCUGCCCAGGACCAACGAGGCACUUCCCUUGAAGUGGAAAAGGUUUGCCAUCUGGCUGGCACCUGCUGCUGGUCAGGCAGACACUCUUGUGUCCCUGCUUCUGGAUUUGGAUGAAACAUCCUGCUGCGGGACAUGGGACGGAGAGAAGGGAGACAAUGAUGCAUCCAGGAGUGGCCCUAUGGGGCCAACUGCCACCAAGGGGAAACUGGAGAGAAGCUUGCCCCUCCUCUCUGUCUCCUGUGGCUGUGGACGACUUCGGGGUGAGAGAAGUUCCAUGUGCAGAGCAGACACACACGCAUGACAACCUGUGUUCAACGCAGUGGAGCAUCAGGUCAUAUUGCUUCACAUCCUCCCUUGUCCCACUGCACUUUCCCCAUCCCUGCUGCCUUGGAUCUAUGCCUCCCCAGUGUAGUGUGAGCACUUUAAUCCUUGCCUUGGGCUCUGUUUUCUACAAUGGGGGGGGGGGGGUGGCUAGAAAAAUAAUUAUGCAACAGUGCUCCUCAUUUGAGCUGGGUCCCGAAAGAUGGGUCAGAGACUGACAGGCAGAAGGAUGAGAUAAAGACAUUACAAGUAGAAGGAGUGGGCUGCAGGAAAGCACAAAGGAUAGUGGGAAAUCGUGGGGUUGGGCAGGGGAGUGCAGACAAUGAAAUUAAGAUGUAAUAGAAGGUGGUGGGCGUGGAUGCCUGCUGUAGAAUUGUUGCUGUUUUUUUUGUAAGCAGGCUUCAUACCCAAUGUAGGGUUUGAACUCAUGACCCGGAGAUCUAAGACCUGAGGUGAGAUCAAAAGCUGGACGCUUAACUGACUGAGCCACCUAGAUGCCCCUACCUGCUGUAGAGUUCAAACAUCGUUUUGUAGGCACCAGAGUGAACCAUGAUGACUCUUCAAGGUACGAUGGAUAAAAUAAUUAUAACAACAACAACAACAACUAAUGUUUAUUAAGCACAUACUAUUUGCUAGCCUUUGCACUAAGCAUUUUUCAUAAAUUAUUUUCCUUAAUCCUAGCCAUAGUCCUAUGAGAUGGGUACUAAUUAUUAUUUCCUAAGACGUAGAAAGGUUAAUAAAUUUGCUCAAGGUCACCCAGAUUUUGAACUCCAUAUUGCAUGCUCUUUGCCACCAGGGCUGGGUUUAGAGACAUAACUUCAGGGGAGGUAUAGAGGACUGGUUGGUGGUAGAGACUUUAGAAAUAGAGCUGCUCUGGGGUGCCUGGAUGGCUCGGUUGGUAAAACAUCCAACCUUAGCUCAGGUCAUGAUCUCGCGGUCAACGGGCUCGAGCCCCGCCUCCGGUUCUGUGCUGACAGCUCAGAGCCUGGAGCCUGCUUCAGAUUCUAUGUCUCCGUCUCUCUUUGCCGCUCCCCUGCCUGUGCUCUAGCUCUCUCACUCUCAAAAGUAAAUAAACAUAAAAAAUUAAAAAGAAAAAAAAGAAGUAGAGUUGCUCUGAGUUGAGGAUUCUGCCAACUUUCACAAAAAAGAAGCAGGGAGGAGGCGUAAAACACACCUUUCCUCCUCCACACGCAGUUUUUCCAUUUAUUCAUUCAAGGUAAAUAGUUACAACACAACGGACACUGAUCUUAAAGCCGGGGAUGGACCUUGCGAAUUAGUGAGGGAGGUACAAAUUAAUCCAAGAAUCACGCAUCUAUCAUUGCAGACUACCGUGUGCUCUGGAGGAAAAGCCCAGGGAGUGAAGAGGGCAUAUUCCAGGCAUGGUCUAGCUUGGCAGACACGGAUCCCACUUCGGAAAGUAAUCCCUCUACUGAGAGGCUGGGGAGCUAAUGAAAAGCAGCCAGCCAAUGGAAACAUGGCAUGUGCUAACAUAUUCUGAAAUUUAAUGUGGAUCACAGGAGCCCUCCCCUGUCAGCCUCUGGCACAGUAACUCCAUCUCACAGCGAAGUUCCCAGAAGACACAGUCUGUGACACUCCCGACCCCCCCCCCCCCACCCAAAUCAAGACGCCUCUCUUUCAGAUACUGAGACUCACAAAUAGUGACCCUUCGUCAUUACAGGCAAAAACAGACUGUCUCCUGGAAAAGACAAUUGGCUUCAUGAGGGCCAAGCGGUCAUUCACUUCUGAACUCACAAAAUCAAUGGCACGCCAUUAAGGAGAAAAUACGAAGGAUCUCCAAGAAGCUCUGAAGAAAGGGGAUGUCAUCACUGGGACUUUGGGAAUUUAGUGCCAUGCUCAAGUAACAUAGCCGCUUUUAAGUGGGACCUCCUGAAGCUAGUUCAUACCCCUUUGUGAGGAUGAUGGGAAGGCUGUGGUCUUCUCUGUACCGUGACUUCCCAGAAUAAUGAGGGUUAACAGAGUCUAGCUUUCAGGAAGACUCGGGUAGGGAGAGGUCAAGGGGAGCGCUCACAGACGGCUGGGCAUAUUUCUGUGUUGUUUCAACACAUCAGGAGCAAGAAUUAAGUUACUCGUCCAACACAAAUGAACAAAAUAUGUAAAGACCGUAAAAUAAAACUCAUGCUUUCUUAACGUCUUUGCAGCUGGAGGACACAGGAAUCACCCCACUGACAGCAUGUCUGGUGAUCUCUAAUCCAGACCCUGCUGCCUGCUGCUGCUCUCUUCGAAAACAAAUCUACGCAGGUCUUUGAACCAUCUUAGAUGCCGCUUCAAGAUACUUUUGGCUGAUUACGUAAGGACCAAACUCCUCACUGCAAUACUGAACAUCUUUCACAAUCAAACCAAAAGUAAACACUGCGGGCUCCAUUCUAAUUCUUGGGACAUUUUCCCUCCUCCCUGCCCCCACCUUUCAGAAUCACUUUCUGUUCCUUAGAGAAGCUGGGCCCUUCCCAGCUCUUCGUUUUUGCAUUUGCUAAUUCCCCUUUCCCUUUUCCUCAGUUCCGCCCCAGCUUCAAUGUCACCUGUCUGUCAACCUCUGAGUCUCCCCAACUCCAGCCAUAAUGCAUUGCUUCCACCUUUGCUGUCACGCAGCACGUCGUCCGAUCACUGCUCUGACUUGUCUUGUUUUUACAAUAGGAAUUUUAAAUUACAAUAGGAAUAUAAGCUUAUGUGCUGAUGUUGUAAGAUAUAAAAGUAUACAGAGUAGCAAAUAUGAAUCCCUUCCCCCAUGUUUUGAUUCAGAAGUUCGUUGGUGGGGGUCGGAGAGGUACACAGGUGGCCAUGACUUUAUUCUGCGUGCCAUUUAAUAUCUGAAUAUUUCUUUAAAAAAUUUUUUAAAUUUAUUUUUGAGAGAGAGAGAGAGAGAGAGCACGCAAGCACGAGCUGGACAGGGGAAGAGAGAGAGGGGAACAGAGGAUUCCAAGUGGGCUCCUGGCUGACAGCAGAGAGCCCGAUGUGGGGCUCAAAGUGAGAUCAUGACCGGAGCUGAGGUUGGACACUUAACCGACUGAGCCCCCUAGGUGCCCCUAAUAUCUGAAUAUUUCAUUAAAAAGUGACAGUCUUUCCUUUUCUUUGGCACUCAUCAUCUGCCAGAAGUACUUUUAACAGUUCAUGGUGUACUGGUCUUUCUAGACUUUUGCUGCUUUCAAACAUGUAAAUCGUCGCGUUUACCAGUGCAAUGAUGGUUUAUUCAAAUAGAAUCAUACUGUUCCUAUUGUUCUAUAAUUUUUCAUUAAUAGACGAGUGGUUUCAGGCUGCAAGGAAAUUGAGCAGAUAGUACAGAGAGUUCCCAUUUACUUCCCCUCCCUACCAUGGCUUCCCCUAUUAUUAUCAUCUUGUGUGGUUCAUACGGUAAAAUUGAGGAGCGGUUAUUGAUAUAUUACUAACUGGCGUCCAUAGUUAACAUUAGGGUUCGCCCUCCCUGUUGGGUUCUCUGGGUUUGCCAGAUACAUGAUGUCACAUAUCCACCAUUACAUAGCAUACAGAAUAGUUUCACCCUCCCUAAGGACCCACCGUGCUCUACCCAUUCAUCCCUACCCACCCCACCCCCACCCACCUCAGCCACUGGCAACCGCCCAUCUUCUCUCUGUAUUUGCACUUUUACCUUUUCCAGAAUGUCAAAAGGUUGGAAUCACACAGCACAUUUCCUUUUCAGACUGCCUCCUGUCACUGGGCGAUAUACAUUUUAGGCUUUUCCGUGUCUUUUUGAGGCUAUAGUUUACCUUUCUAAUCGACAUGUUCCCCCCAUAUCCUUACAUGCUUCCUGUACCUUUUUCUCUUCAGCAGCUACCUACGUAUCUUUUGGUACGAUUGUAAAAACUUCCUUAUCUUUUUCCUUCUCAAGGGACAUGUGGGUUUCUCAAGUUUUUUAGCUGCAUAUUUACAUAUCUUUGACUCCCCAUAAACUUUGCACUCCAUAACCAAUAAAACAUGGUGUUCAAUAAACAGCGUUGCUUCUGUUCACAAAGAAGAACUGUAAACACAGGAAAAGGGUGGGUGGUGGUAACUCAAAGCAAGAAGAGGGAAGGUCCCAUAGGGUCCCAUAAGUAGUGGCAGAGGGGCUCAGGGGAGAGAGGGGGUAGCAGGCUGGGAAAAAGCUGGGCCACAAAGACUUAACAGAGGAAGCAGGUUUACAACUGAGUC